AGCAAGGGCGGGGCAAGGCAGAAAUUCUGCCUUGCCCCGCCCUUUUU
This 47-nucleotide small RNA is filed under the name Paenibacillus sp. P22. The record is from RNAcentral. Lineage: Bacteria; Bacillati; Bacillota; Bacilli; Caryophanales; Paenibacillaceae.